GAGUUUGAUCGUGGCUCAGAACGAACGCUGGCGGCGUGCUUAACACAUGCAAGUCGAACGAGAAAGAGCUCUUCGGAGCUUGAGUAAAGUGGCGCACGGGUGAGUAACGCGUAGAUAACCUGUCCAGGUGUUCGGGAUAGCCCUCCGAAAGGGGGAUUAAUACCGGAUACGUUAGUUUGUCAUAAGGCAAAUUAAGAAAGGUGGCCUCUAUUUAUAAGCUAUCGCACUUGGAGGGGUCUGCGUACCAUUAGUUUGUUGGUGGGGUAAUGGCCUACCAAGACUUCGAUGGUUAGCGGGUCUGAGAGGAUGAUCCGUCACACUGGCACUGAAACACGGGCCAGACUCCUACGGGAGGCAGCAGUGAGGAAUAUUGCGCAAUGGGGGAAACCCUGACGCAGCGACGCCGCGUGGGUGAGGAAGGCCUUUCGGUCGUAAAGCCCUGUCAGAAGGGAAGAAAUGUGUAGUGGUUAAUACCCAUUGCACUUGACGGUCCUUCAAAGGAAGCACCGGCUAACUCCGUGCCAGCAGCCGCCGU
This 535-nucleotide ribosomal RNA is filed under the name uncultured microorganism. Its description in RNAcentral is "bacterial SSU rRNA". It matches the Rfam family "Bacterial small subunit ribosomal RNA", at positions 9 to 521 of the family's 1533-position model. The record is from RNAcentral.